AGUAAAUAGAUACCCAGGUAGUCCACGCCGUAAACGAUGAAUACUAGGUGUAGGAGGUAUCGACUCCUUCUGUGCCGCAGUUAAACACAAUAAGUAUUCCGCCUGGGGAGUACGGUCGCAAGAUUAAAACUCAAAGGAAUUGACGGGGGCCCGCACAAGCAGCGGAGCAUGUGGUUUAAUUCGAAGCAACGCGAAGAACCUUACCCAGACUUGACAUCUCCUGAAUUAAUCGUAAUUGAUGAAAUCCCUUCGGGGACAGGAAGACAGGUGGUGCAUGGUUGUCGUCAGCUCGUGUCGUGAGAUGUUGGGUUAAGUCCCGCAACGAGCGCAACCCUUAUCAUUAGUUGCUAACAUUCAGUUGAGCACUCUAGUGAGACUGCCCGGGUUAACCGGGAGGAAGGUGGGGAUGACGUCAAAUCAUCAUGCCCCUUAUGUCUGGGGCUACACACGUGCUACAAUGGUGGGAACAAAGAGAUGCAAGACCGCGAGGUGGAGCCAAACUCAAAAACCCGAUCCCAGUUCGGAUUGUAGGCUGAAACUCGCC
RNAcentral lists this ribosomal RNA (544 nucleotides) under uncultured bacterium. RNAcentral's name for it is "bacterial SSU rRNA". It matches the Rfam family "Bacterial small subunit ribosomal RNA", at positions 774 to 1316 of the family's 1533-position model. The record is from RNAcentral.